GGACAGAUGAGACACACGUGAUUAUCUGAUGAAGAGAGACUGAUGAAGGAAUGAUGCCAUCAAAGUCUCUCAUACAUUUGAUGCAGAUCUGUUGUGUUGACAGCAGCAUCUGUGGAAAAAAACCUGAAACCAAAAUAUUAAGACCUCAAUCCCUCUGGAGCACCUGGAGUAAAGACACAUGGUGGAGAUUGAUCCAGCAACCUUCUGCUGACCAGUCCACUUCAUUACACCAUAGAAGUAGUGGUGCUCAUGGUGAGAAGACACAGAUGUUUGGAGCAGACACAGCAGCAGUCAGAUUGUCCCACACAUGUUCUCCUGCUCUUGUUCAGGGUUGUGUGGCUCAGGGUCUUCAUCAUGGUCUUCCUCAUCCUCUCUGUGCACUCAGACAAGUACAGUCUCGAUGUCCCUCCCUCAUCCAUGAACAGAUUCAGUCUGAUUGCAGCAGUGAGGGUCGUGAUGGAAGGAUGUUCACCAUCUGUAAACUAAAAAACAGAACAAUGUUUGAAUAAAGCUUUGUUUCAUCUGUUGUUGACUUGUAUUUAUUUAUUGUGACGGUUACUUUUAUUUAUUAUUUUAAUUGUUUAUUCAUGUCUCCUGUUGUUGUCAGUAAAUAAAAUAUAGCCUAAUUGUUUCAUUAACACAUGCAUUCAUUCAUUACUUGACUGAAUGUUUAGAUGUAUUUAUCUGCAUUUGUCUUGUUUGAACUCAUGCAUAGCUCUGGCAUUAGAAAAAAAAAACUAAUUAAAAUUUGUUUGUUUUACAAAAAAUACAUAAUUAUUAGUCACCAUUUAUAAUUAUUAUUGUUGAUAAGUGUUGGGGUGGGCUAGAAUUGCUUUCUGAGGUAAUCUUAAUUCUUAAGUAGUAAUACUUACAUUUUUAAAAUGUAAAAUCAACAAUCUUCUCCUAAGGCGAGAUCUAAGGUCUCCUUUGUGCAGAUAUUACAAAUAUUGCAAACGCUGAGGAAACCCGUACUAGGUAUGGUUGUGCAGUUACUGAUGCUAUGAGGUGUUUAAUAAGGAUUAAACUGCGGGUCAUUUCAAGAAAGUUAAAAUAUAAAAACAAUGCAAAAUGUAUUGGUUAAACUACAAUAACAAUAAAAUGGCAUCUGUGUAUUCAACAAGAAUUUUAUUAUUAUUUUUUUUUUUAUUGAAUACAAAAUUAUACAUACAACCAAGGCAACUGCAUUCCUACUACAGGACAUAAAG
RNAcentral lists this long non-coding RNA (1205 nucleotides) under Carassius auratus (goldfish). RNAcentral's name for it is "lncRNA (ENSCARG00000061552.1)". The record is from RNAcentral. Lineage: Eukaryota; Metazoa; Chordata; Actinopteri; Cypriniformes; Cyprinidae.